AAAAAUAUUACAAAAUAAAUGGUAUAGAUGACUGAAUUUGGUCUCGCUAAUGUAUUAUUUAACAAAAGAUAAGAUAAUAUUUUUUUUUAUUUUUUUUUUGAAAACUCUACGGUAAUAUAUAUAGUCUUUUUUUUUUUAACACAAAUCUGCAAUAUAUUAAGAAGAACUGUGCAAAUCAUUGUUUACAGAAACAACAAUAACAGAAGGAAUAGAAGAAUGAAAAAUAAAAUCAGAGAUAGAAACAUGUUGAAUUUCUGCAAGACAAUCUGCAGGUUGAUUUAGAGCUCUUGGAACCCAACUAAACUGAAUAGACUCAAAUCUUUCCAUCCAUGUCUUGAUUUCAUAAAGCCAG
This 352-nucleotide long non-coding RNA is filed under the name Capsella rubella. RNAcentral's name for it is "long non-coding RNA (CRUB_LNC002719)". The record is from RNAcentral. Lineage: Eukaryota; Viridiplantae; Streptophyta; Magnoliopsida; Brassicales; Brassicaceae.